This 437-nucleotide ribosomal RNA is filed under the name Enterobacter hormaechei. RNAcentral describes it as "partial 23S ribosomal RNA". It matches the Rfam family "Bacterial large subunit ribosomal RNA", at positions 512 to 954 of the family's 2925-position model. The record is from RNAcentral. Lineage: Bacteria; Pseudomonadati; Pseudomonadota; Gammaproteobacteria; Enterobacterales; Enterobacteriaceae.
AGGCGAAAAGAACCCCUGUGAGGGGAGUGAAAUAGAUCCUGAAACCGCAUGCAUACAAAAAGUCGGAGCCCGAAAGGGUGACGGCGUACCUUUUGUAUAAUGGGUCAGCGACUUACAUUCAGUGGCGAGGUUAACCGAAUAGGGAAGCCGAAGAGAAAUCGAGUCCGAAUAGGGCGUCUAGUCGCUGGGUCUAGACCCGAAACCAAGUGAUCUAUCCAUGGCCAGGAUGAAGGUGCGGUAACACGCACUGGAGGUCCGAACCGACUAGUGUUGCAAAACUAGCGGAUGAGCUGUGGAUAGGGGUGAAAGGCUAAACAAACCUGGAAAUAGCUGGUUCUCUCCGAAAACUAUUUAGGUAGUGCCUCGUGUGGUCACCUUUGGGGGUAGAGCACUGUUUUGGCUAGGGGGUCAUGGCGACUUACCAAACCAAGGCAAAC